Molecule: ribosomal RNA, 433 nt
Filed under: uncultured bacterium
Lineage: Bacteria
Description: partial 16S ribosomal RNA
Rfam family: Bacterial small subunit ribosomal RNA
Source: RNAcentral
AACGAACGCUGGCGGCAUGCCUAACACAUGCAAGUCGAACGAGACCUUCGGGUCUAGUGGCGCACGGGUGCGUAACGCGUGGGAACCUGCCCUUAGGUUCGGAAUAACUCCCCGAAAGGGGUGCUAAUACCGGAUAAUGUCUUCGGACCAAAGAUUUAUCGCCUUUGGAUGGGCCCGCGUUGGAUUAGCGAGUUGGUAGGGUAAAAGCCUACCAAGGCGACGAUCCAUAGCUGGUCUGAGAGGAUGAUCAGCCGCACUGGGACUGAGACACAGCCCAGACUGCGACGCAGCGCAGCAGUAGAGAGUACUGUACGAUGAGCGAAGACCUAAUCCAGCAAUGCCGCGUAAGUGAGGAAGGCGUUAGGGUUGUAAAUCUCUCUGACCCGAAAUGAGAGUGACGGUACCGGGAAAAUAAGCACCGGCUAACUCCGUG